This 317-nucleotide long non-coding RNA is filed under the name Malus domestica (apple). RNAcentral describes it as "long non-coding RNA (MDOM_LNC007429)". The record is from RNAcentral. Lineage: Eukaryota; Viridiplantae; Streptophyta; Magnoliopsida; Rosales; Rosaceae.
UCAAUUCUCCCUUUAUGAUUAGUGUUUGCUAGUCAUUAGGGCUUCCAAAAACCAUGAGUGACACCUAGCAGUAUGUCAUGGUCACCCAAGCUAAGUAGAAUUGGUUGGAGAACCUAUCCAGUUACAACUACAAUGCAAUACGGUCAUUCUCUAAUACAAUACUCUUAAUCACAUUGUUUAGGUGAUAGUUUGUUUCAUGUCUACUAUCCAAUGUGAUACUUUUCUAUAUGAUUCCUUUGAAUAUGAAUUAGAACAAACUUCCUAAGUCAUAUUCAUUUGCUUUGGCCAAAGACUUACGAAUCAUAUCUUAGAGUAUU